AAAAAGACAAACUCUAAGUUUCCGUGUCCAAUGUUUGACUGUCCGUCUUAUAUGAAAUUUUUUUAUGAUUAGUAUUUUCAUUGUUGUUAGAUGAUAAAACAUGAUUAAUACUUUAUGCAUGACUUAUCUUUUUAUUUUUUUCAUAAUUUUUUCAAAUAAGACGGACGGCCAAAUGCUGGACACGGAAACUCAGGGUUUGCCUUUUU
Molecule: non-coding RNA, 206 nt
Organism: Oryza nivara
Lineage: Eukaryota; Viridiplantae; Streptophyta; Magnoliopsida; Poales; Poaceae
Source: Rfam